Molecule: microRNA precursor, 96 nt
Filed under: Tursiops truncatus (common bottlenose dolphin)
Lineage: Eukaryota; Metazoa; Chordata; Mammalia; Artiodactyla; Delphinidae
Description: miRNA (ENSTTRG00000023753.1)
Source: RNAcentral
CCUAGAAGUAUUUUGUGAUGGAUAAAGAACAUGUGGGGUGUGUGUGUGUGUUUGUAUAUGUGUGUGUCUGUGUAUAUAUACACACACACACAUACA